Molecule: ribosomal RNA, 500 nt
Filed under: uncultured bacterium
Lineage: Bacteria
Description: partial 16S ribosomal RNA
Rfam family: Bacterial small subunit ribosomal RNA
Source: RNAcentral
GAUGAACGCUGGCGGCGCGCCUAACACAUGCAAGUCGAACGGAAGGGCCUGAUUUCCCUUGUGCUUUGCGGGGCGUCGAGUGGCGAAGGGGUGAGUAACUCGCGAGUGAUUUGCCCCCAGCUUAGGUAUAGGAACGGGAACCUGGGCCUAAUUACGGAUUGGACGGCAGGGUGGUGCAUGUGGAGGAAAACGAUCUUUUAGUGGUAGGGGGUGAGCUGGCGGCUUAUCUGCUUGUUGGUGGGGUAACGGCCAACCAAGGCGACGCUGGCUAGCCGGAGUGGGAGGGUGAUGGGGCACAGUGGCACUGAGACAGGGUCCCGACCCAGACGGGAGCGAGCAGUAGGGAAUGUUAGUCAAUGGGCGUAAGCCUGAUCCUGAUACACCGCGUGCGCGAGGAAGGUCUUCGGCUUGUAAAUCUCUGCUCCUUGGGACGACGAGAAGGGCACCUAGUUGGAAGGGUGGUGACGGUACUGAAAGAAGAAGCACCGGCUAACUACGUG